This 508-nucleotide unclassified non-coding RNA is filed under the name Hevea brasiliensis (rubber tree). Lineage: Eukaryota; Viridiplantae; Streptophyta; Magnoliopsida; Malpighiales; Euphorbiaceae. The record is from RNAcentral.
CAGAUGCAUUUGAUUAGGUUAUAACUGAAGUCAAUUCGGUAUUUGAAUACAAGUAGCACUGCCUCUGUCAAGUGUUUACAAAUGAGGAGGGUCUCCCUCCCCUUGCACAAAACAUUUAAAGUAUCCACAAAAGAAGACAUUAUUUUCACUUCUGAUCAGGAUGAAACAAGAAGGAUGGAAUAAGCCUACAAGGAGUUGGUUGAAACUAAAACCUCACAAGUAUCUUAUCCUUGUUUUUUACCAGUCAUACCCGCAACCACAUCGCUUAAAGGAGCUGCCGGAACUUGCUUGGAUGAUUCAAAAGAGUCCAGAAUAGGCCUUACAACCGCAGGAAGGAAGAGGCCGAAUCCAGCGAUGAGACAAGAGGCAGCCACGACUGGUUCUUGAACCACGAACAUUCUCAAUUUCCCCAUUACCGCCAUCUUUUUUUCUUCUUCUUCUUCCCGUAGAUUUCCUACCACCCAGAAAAGUCUCGAGAUGUUGGCUGCUGUGUAGCAACUACGAUCGG